Molecule: long non-coding RNA, 1335 nt
Organism: Glycine soja
Lineage: Eukaryota; Viridiplantae; Streptophyta; Magnoliopsida; Fabales; Fabaceae
Exons: 2
Source: RefSeq, a predicted model, not a curated record
CAUGGAUUAUAUGCCUGAGUGUUGGUAGUACUCCUUGUUUACAGGGAAAGGUGGUUGAUUGCAACUAUAUUCGGGGUCCCAAGUAUUUAGAAAUUGAUGUUGAUAUUGGUUUUUCUACUGUUGCUAAUGGAGUUUUGGGUCUGGUUAUUGGUGUGAUUACAACAUUGGUGGUUGAUAUGGCUUUUCUUGUACAGGUGAGCUUGAUAUACUAGUAAUUAACAUUUAAACAAGUCAUGGGAUUAAGUGGCAGCAAUUGGGCUAGAGCUAUUUUGUUGCAUUCAGUGUGGAAACUUUCAUGUUCAUAUUGCACAAGCAUAAUGGCUUUGAUUUCACAUUUGCUAGUCGUACUUGAUUUUAGUUGAAAUCACUUAGGGUAGGUUGUAGGUCUUCAAUAUUUCAGAUUGUGGAGACCUGCUAAAUGACAUGACAACAAAUCUGUUACUUUCUUACGAAUUGUGUUAAAUUUCAUUACCUGUUUUUCCUCCAACUGCUAGGAAUUAUAAAUACUCUAUGAAGCUGAGCUAGCUAUGCGUAACAAAAACAUUUUUUCCAAAGUAACAAUAUCUUGCUCUGCUGUGUGUGUUUUGAAGAUUCACUGCAUGCUGCUGCUUUUAUGCUUGCACUUUUGUAUUUGGGAAUGGUAUGUAUAUUCUGAAAUUGAGUGCCCUUGAUUUAGCUAAAAAAAAGUUUCACAGGUGGUGAUUCUAUUAUGUAGAUGAAGUCUUCUAUUAAAAUUAAAAUUUUGUAAAUCUUUAAGCACUAAAUGAUAUGAUGGAUAGCCAACUUUGUAGUGAAAGUGUGAAUUUGGUUGUUAAUUGAGUUGAGGUCGCGUUGUAUUGUGUCCAAGAAGUGUCCAUUAGUUUACCUAAUAUGUAUGGGAGAGAUGGAUAGUGGAGCUGAUGAAUUGCCCGAGAGGCUUAUUGGAGCUGUCGUAUUUCUCAUAUGCAGAUGUACCAUUUUUUUUCCACUGUGAUUUAGGUUCAUUGUUUUAUAAUUGGGUUCUUCUAUGAAAUCUUAAAAGGAAAUUCUUCUUUCCUUUUCCCCCUUUCUUGGUUUUUUUUUGUAGCUCAUUUAAGUGUUAAGCUGAUAGGAUCUGUAUUUUGUCAAUGUAUUCAUAUUCGGAUAUAUUUCAUCUGAUUAUGAAGUAUUGUCAUAUAGUUCUAAAAAUUUUUUUUGUAACUCCCAGUAAGUUAGAAGAAAAAGGGAAAGUUUUCGGUCAUUUCAUCCCGUCAUGGAAUUUGCUCGUGUAAUAAUGUACAUAGUUUCUCCUUCAUGACAUCUCUCAUCACCAAAGAUUGUAUCUACAUUUUGUAGUAAUGCAGUUUCUUUCUCAUU